AUACACUCACUCACUCACACACACGUCCCAAACACCACCACCAUCUGGUGGACAUUUUACUUCAGUGUGUGAAAGGUUAAAAGCUGCCACCAUCAACACAAUUUAGAAAUGGGACCCCUUGGGUUACCCCACAAAAUCAAAUUUGAAAAACCCUCAAAACACAAUUUGGCAAAAUUAUUUGUGAAACCACAGUCUCUUUGGUAACAUGAUUCUUAUACCAAACAAAGGCACAACUUAAUAAAGGAAUGCUUAUUAUGAAC
Pelobates cultripes (western spadefoot toad) is the source of this 260-nucleotide non-coding RNA. The record is from the annotation of a GenBank genome assembly. Lineage: Eukaryota; Metazoa; Chordata; Amphibia; Anura; Pelobatidae.